Molecule: long non-coding RNA, 940 nt
Filed under: Lepisosteus oculatus (spotted gar)
Lineage: Eukaryota; Metazoa; Chordata; Actinopteri; Semionotiformes; Lepisosteidae
Description: lncRNA (ENSLOCG00000021685.1)
Source: RNAcentral
CUCAAAACCACUUUACAGGAAGUCCUUCAGCACAGAGCAACUGAGUCUGUUUUUACCAGCCCCUCUUUCCUUCUGUGCUUCCUGAUUAAAAACAUACAUUACGUUAUCGAAACAGAAAGUAUAUUUCUGUUUUGUUGCCAUUUUGAGCAAAGCAGGGUAGAUGCAGUCGGGUACAAGUAGAGAGGGAAUAAACUUACUCCUCCAUUAAAAACACACUGAAGUGUGGUAAUUGUGGAAGGUGGCUGGGGGAGAGAGCAAGAGGUUUUACCAGAAUUCAGACUUCAGACCACUGGCUGUAGAGUCUGAGAGACUGAAAACAGUUUAGGGAAGAUUAUAAGAGCAGAAGGACUUCAGGGGAGACUUCACAUCACCCUGGGUUGUGCAUGUAUCAAAUUCAUGUCCUUGAGACCCUCUGCUGAUCGUCAGGAGGGGAACAGCUUCUGAAAUGAGUCUCUCUGAGGAGCCUGAGGCUGAAGAUGGAGCACUGGGCCCUGAAAUUGAGAGGGUCAAACUCCAGAGAUCAGAGUCACCAGUGCCCAGCUGUGUGUCCAUAAAUAGUGACUAUUCAAUGGAUCGACCAAUACAGUUCAGAGCUGGAGACUUCAAUCAUGACCUGAGGUGAGGUCACUGUUGUCUGUAGAGUGUAUCUGUCAGCAGGUCAUGAGAUAAAAUUGUGUGAACUGGAUCACCUCUCACUUUCUUAUUUCCUAUGUUCUAUGAAAAGCUUAAGAAGAAUAAAAUCCUGAAAGCUGAAAAAUGCUGAAAAUAAAAACAAAACUCUACAGCCAGUAUUUUCUCAUGACUAAGGGGUGAAAGAGUGUGUAUCCACUGCAGACAUGAUCACAGACACACUCAGGUGUGGAGGAACAGUGAACUGUAACUGAACACAGGAGUGACGAGCAGCAGAAUAUAGAACCUGGAUUUCUCAAAACAAUUCGAC